Molecule: ribosomal RNA, 460 nt
Filed under: uncultured bacterium
Lineage: Bacteria
Description: partial 16S ribosomal RNA
Rfam family: Bacterial small subunit ribosomal RNA
Source: RNAcentral
CCUACGGGUGACAGCAGUGAGGAAUAUUGGUCAAUGGGCGCGAGCCUGAACCAGCCAAGUAGCGUGAAGGAUGACUGCCCUACGGGUUGUAAACUUCUUUUAUAAAGGAAUAAAGUGAGGCACGUGUGCCUUUUUGUAUGUACUUUAUGAAUAAGGAUCGGCUAACUCCGUGCCAGCCGCCGCGGUAAUACGGAGGAUCCGAGCGUUAUCCGGAUUUAUUGGGUUCAAAGGGAGCGUAGAUGGGGUGUUAAGUCAGUUGUGAAAUUUUGCGGCUCAACCGUAAAAUUGCAAUUGAUCCUGGCAGUCUUGAGUACAGUUGAGGUAGGCGGAAGGCGUGGUGUAGCGGUGAAAUGCUUAGAUAUCACGAAGAACUCCGAUUGCGAAGGCAGCUUACUAAACUGCCACUGACAUUGAUGCUCGAAAGUGUGGGUAUCAAACAGGAUUAGAUACCCCAGUAGUC